This 375-nucleotide ribosomal RNA is filed under the name uncultured organism. RNAcentral describes it as "partial 16S ribosomal RNA". It matches the Rfam family "Bacterial small subunit ribosomal RNA", at positions 527 to 897 of the family's 1533-position model. The record is from RNAcentral.
GUAGGUGGCAAGCGUUGUCCGGAAUUAUUGGGGCGUAAAGCGCGCGCAGGCGGUUCUUUAAGUCUGGUGUGAAAGCCCACGGGCUCAACCGUGGAGGGUCAUUGGAAACUGGAGAACUUGAGUACAGAAGAGGAAAGCGGAAUUCCACGUGUAGCGGUGAAAUGCGUAGAGAUGUGGAGGAACACCAGUGGCGAAGGCGGCUUUCUGGUCUGUAACUGACGCUGAGGCGCGAAAGCGUGGGGAGCAAACAGGAUUAGAUACCCUGGUAGUCCACGCCGUAAACGAUGAGUGCUAAGUGUUAGGGGGUUUCCGCCCCUUAGUGCUGCAGCUAACGCAUUAAGCACUCCGCCUGGGGAGUACGGCCGCAAAGGCUGA